GUCUACGGCAAUGCCACCCCGAACAAGCCCGAUUCCGUCUGAUCUCAGAAGCUAAGCAGGGUUGGGCCUGGUUAGUACUUGGAUGGGAGACCACCUAGGAGAUCAGGCGCUGUAGGUG
This 118-nucleotide ribosomal RNA is filed under the name Pteropus alecto (black flying fox). The record is from RNAcentral. Lineage: Eukaryota; Metazoa; Chordata; Mammalia; Chiroptera; Pteropodidae.